CAGGCUUAACACAUGCAAGUCGAGGGGCAGCAUGGUCUUAGCUUGCUAAGGCCGAUGGCGACCGGCGCACGGGUGAGUAACACGUAUCCAACCUGCCGUCUACUCUUGGACAGCCUUCUGAAAGGAAGAUUAAUACAAGAUGGCAUCAUGAGUCCGCAUGUUCACAUGAUUAAAGGUAUUCCGGUAGACGAUGGGGAUGCGUUCCAUUAGAUAGUAGGCGGGGUAACGGCCCACCUAGUCUUCGAUGGAUAGGGGUUCUGAGAGGAAGGUCCCCCACAUUGGAACUGAGACACGGUCCAAACUCCUACGGGAGGCAGCAGUGAGGAAUAUUGGUCAAUGGGCGAGAGCCUGAACCAGCCAAGUAGCGUGAAGGAUGACUGCCCUAUGGGUUGUAAACUUCUUUUAUAAAGGAAUAAAGUCGGGUAUGCAUACCCGUUUGCAUGUACUUUAUGAAUAAGGAUCGGCUAACUCCGUGCCAGCAGCCGCGGUAAUACGGAGGAUCCGAGCGUUAUCCGGAUUUAUUGGGUUUAAAGGGAGCGUAGAUGGAUGUUUAAGUCAGUUGUGAAAGUUUGCGGCUCAACCGUAAAAUUGCAGUUGAUACUGGAUAUCUUGAGUGCAGUUGAGGCAGGCGGAAUUCGUGGUGUAGCGGUGAAAUGCUUAGAUAUCACGAAGAACUCCGAUUGCGAAGGCAGCCUGCUAAGCUGCAACUGACAUUGAGGCUCGAAAGUGUGGGUAUCAAACAGGAUUAGAUACCCUGGUAGUCCACACGGUAAACGAUGAAUACUCGCUGUUUGCGAUAUACUGCAAGCGGCCAAGCGAAAGCGUUAAGUAUUCCACCUGGGGAGUACGCCGGCAACGGUGAAACUCAAAGGAAUUGACGGGGGCCCGCACAAGCGGAGGAACAUGUGGUUUAAUUCGAUGAUACGCGAGGAACCUUACCCGGGCUUAAAUUGCAGAUGAAUUACGGUGAAAGCCGUAAGCCGCAAGGCAUCUGUGAAGGUGCUGCAUGGUUGUCGUCAGCUCGUGCCGUGAGGUGUCGGCUUAAGUGCCAUAACGAGCGCAACCCUUGUUGUCAGUUACUAACAGGUUCCGCUGAGGACUCUGACAAGACUGCCAUCGUAAGAUGUGAGGAAGGUGGGGAUGACGUCAAAUCAGCACGGCCCUUACGUCCGGGGCUACACACGUGUUACAAUGGGGGGUACAGAGGGCCGCUACCACGCGAGUGGAUGCCAAUCCCCAAAACCUCUCUCAGUUCGGACUGGAGUCUGCAACCCGACUCCACGAAGCUGGACUCGCUAGUAAUCGCGCAUCAGCCACGGCGCGGUGAAUACGUUCCCGGGCCUUGUACACACCGCCCGUCAAGCCAUGGGAGCCGGGGGUACCUGAAGUGCGUAACCGCGAGGAGCGCCCUAGGGUAAAACUGGUGACUGGGGCUAAGUC
Molecule: ribosomal RNA, 1440 nt
Filed under: uncultured organism
Description: 16S ribosomal RNA
Rfam family: Bacterial small subunit ribosomal RNA
Source: RNAcentral